CAGGACGAACGCUGGCGGCGUGCCUAAUACAUGCAAGUCGAACGGUCUUUCUAUGGAAGCUUGCUUCCACUGAGAAGAUAGUGGCGAACGGGUGAGUAACACGUGGGUAAACCUGCCCAUAAGAGGGGGGAUAACAUCCGGAAACGGGUGCUAAUACCGCAUAGUUUUCUUGAUCGCAUGAUUGAGAAAGGAAAGACGGCCUUUGUGCUGUCGCUUAUGGAUGGACCCGCGGCGUAUUAGUUAGUUGGUGAGGUAACGGCUCACCAAGACGAUGAUACGUAGCCGACCUGAGAGGGUGAUCGGCCACAUUGGGACUGAGACACGGCCCAAACUCCUACGGGAGGCAGCAGUAGGGAAUCUUCCGCAAUGGACGAAAGUCUGACGGAGCAACGCCGCGUGAGUGAAGGAAGGUUUUCGGAUCGUAAAACUCUGUUGUCAGAGAAGAACAAGUUGGAGAGUAACUGCUCCAGCCUUGACGGUAUCUGACCAGAAAGCCACGGCUAACUACGUGCCAGCCGCCGC
This 522-nucleotide ribosomal RNA is filed under the name uncultured bacterium. Its description in RNAcentral is "bacterial SSU rRNA". It matches the Rfam family "Bacterial small subunit ribosomal RNA", at positions 25 to 518 of the family's 1533-position model. The record is from RNAcentral.